UACAGAGGGUGCGAGCGUUAAUCGGAAUUACUGGGCGUAAAGCGUGCGUAGACGGUUGUUUAAGUCGGAUGUGAAAGCCCCGGGCUCAACCUGGGAAUUGCAUUCGAGACUGAAUAGCUAGGGUACGGUAGAGGGAAGCGGAAUUUCCGGUGUAGCGGUGAAAUGCGUAGAUAUCGGAAGGAACAUCAGUGGCGAAAGCGGCUUCCUGGACCAGUACCGACGUUCAGGCACGAAAGCGUGGGGAGCAAACAGG
RNAcentral lists this ribosomal RNA (253 nucleotides) under uncultured bacterium. RNAcentral's name for it is "partial 16S ribosomal RNA". It matches the Rfam family "Bacterial small subunit ribosomal RNA", at positions 524 to 776 of the family's 1533-position model. The record is from RNAcentral.